Molecule: long non-coding RNA, 171 nt
Organism: Etheostoma cragini (Arkansas darter)
Lineage: Eukaryota; Metazoa; Chordata; Actinopteri; Perciformes; Percidae
Exons: 4
Source: RefSeq, a predicted model, not a curated record
GACGACCCUCGAGACAGUCCCCAUCACCACGACCAUAAAACCGAAUCCAUCGACACAACUGGAGUUCUGGUGGAGGAGCAGCUGCCGGAGGAGAGCCGGGAGUCGGGACGAGACUUGACGAGCUCCAAAUUCACACAGGAAUCGGGUACGUUCAGAGUCUUAACUACGGGU